AGUGAACGCUGGCGGUAGGCCUAACACAUGCAAGUCGAACGGCAGCACAGUAAGAGCUUGCUCUUACGGGUGGCGAGUGGCGGAAGGGUGAGGAAUACAUCGGGAUCUACUUUUUCGUGGGGGAUAACGUAGGGAAACUUACGCUAAUACAGCAUACGCCCUACGGGUGAAAGCAGGGGAUCUUCGCACCUUGCGCGAUUGAAUGAGCCGCUGUCGGAUUAGCUAGUUGGCGGGGUAAAGGCCCACCUAGGCGACGAUCCGUAGCUGGUCUGAGAGGAUGAUCAGCCACAUUGGAACUGAGACACGGUCCAGACUCCUACGGGAGGGAGCAGUGGGGAAUAGUGGACAAUGGGCGCAAGCCUGAUCCAGCCAUACCGCGUGGGUGAAGAAGGCCUUCGGGUUGGAAAGCCCGUCUGUUGGGAAAGAAAAGCAUCAGGUUAAUACCCCGCUGUUCUGACGGUACCGAAAGAAUAAGCACCGGCUAACUUCGUG
This 492-nucleotide ribosomal RNA is filed under the name uncultured bacterium. RNAcentral describes it as "partial 16S ribosomal RNA". It matches the Rfam family "Bacterial small subunit ribosomal RNA", at positions 29 to 507 of the family's 1533-position model. The record is from RNAcentral.